RNAcentral lists this ribosomal RNA (497 nucleotides) under uncultured bacterium. RNAcentral describes it as "partial 16S ribosomal RNA". It matches the Rfam family "Bacterial small subunit ribosomal RNA", at positions 28 to 507 of the family's 1533-position model. The record is from RNAcentral.
GAUGAACGCUGGCGGCGUGCCUAAUACAUGCAAGUCGAGCGAACGGACGAGAAGCUUGCUUCUCUGAUGUUAGCGGCGGACGGGUGAGUAACACGUGGAUAACCUACCUAUAAGACUGGGAUAACUUCGGGAAACCGGAGCUAAUACCGGAUGAUAUUUUGAACCGCAUGGUUCAAAAGUGAAAGACGGUUUUGCUGUCACUUAUAGAUGGAUCCGCGCUGCAUUAGCUAGUUGGUAAGGUAACGGCUUACCAAGGCAACGAUGCGUAGCCGACCUGAGAGGGUGAUCGGCCACACUGGAACUGAGACACGGUCCAGACUCCUACGGGAGGCAGCAGUAGGGAAUCUUCCGCAAUGGGCGAAAGCCUGACGGAGCAACGCCGCGUGAGUGAUGAAGGUCUUCGGAUCGUAAAACUCUGUUAUUAGGGAAGAACAUAUGUGUAAGUAACUAUGCACAUCUUGACGGUACCUAAUCAGAAAGCCACGGCUAACUACGUG